RNAcentral lists this ribosomal RNA (656 nucleotides) under uncultured bacterium. Its description in RNAcentral is "bacterial SSU rRNA". It matches the Rfam family "Bacterial small subunit ribosomal RNA", at positions 124 to 775 of the family's 1533-position model. The record is from RNAcentral.
AUCUACCUUUAACUGGGGGAAAGUCGCUGGAAACGGCGAAUAAUCCCGCAUAAGACCCCGAUGUCGCAUGGCAUUGUGGUAAAAGGCUUCGGCUGGUAAAAGAUGAUUGUGCGUUCCAUUAGCUAGAUGGUGAGGUAACGGCUCACCAUGGCGACGAUGGUUAGGGGGCGUGAGAGCGUGAUCCCCCACACGGGUACUGAGACACGGACCCGACUCCUACGGGAGGCAGCAGUAAGGAAUAUUGGUCAAUGGGCGAAAGCCUGAACCAGCCAUGCCGCGUGUAUGAUGAAGGCCCUUAGGGUUGUAAAGUACUUUUGUCUGGGAAGAAUGGCAGAGAUUUAUCUUUGUAGGGACGGUACCAGAAGAAUAAGCACCGGCUAACUCCGUGCCAGCAGCCGCGGUAAUACGGAGGGUGCAAGCGUUAUCCGGAAUCACUGGGUUUAAAGGGUACGUAGGCGGUUCGAUAAGUCAGACGUUAAAGGCUGUGGCUAAACCAUGGUACGCGUUUGAAACUAUCGAACUUGAAUAUGUUCGAGGUGCAUGGAAUGCUUCAUGUAGCGGUGAAAUGCAUAGAUAUGAAGUAGAACACCAAAAGCGAAGGCAGUGCACUAGGGCAGAAUUGACGCUGAGGUACGAAAGCGUGGGGUAGCGAACAG